This is a long non-coding RNA of Eriocheir sinensis (Chinese mitten crab), 386 nucleotides long. RefSeq lists it as uncharacterized. The transcript has 3 exons. The record is from RefSeq and is a predicted model, not a curated record. Lineage: Eukaryota; Metazoa; Arthropoda; Malacostraca; Decapoda; Varunidae.
CCGCACCAAUGGGGAUCUUGAGCAACUGCCCCGCCACCCCCAAGGAAGAUAGGGGGCUUCUUGCUCCUUCUCCAAGUGGUAGGCAGGAAGUGGAUUAGCUCGGAGGGGUCCAGAAAUGAUGGCUCUGUGGUAUGAAGUCUGUGGUUAGGUAGUGGAUUAGCUCGGAGGGGACCAGAAAUGAUGGCUCUGAGGUAUGAAGUCUGUGGUUAGGUAGUGUAUUAGCUCAGAGGGGACCAGAAAUCAUGGCUCUGAGGUAUGAAGUCUGUGGUUAGGUAGUGUAUUAGCUCAGAGGGGUCCAGAAGUGAUGGCUCUGUGGUAUGAAGUCUGUGGUAGGCAGCAAGUGUAUUAGCUCAGAGGGGUCCAGAAAUGAUGGCUCUGAAAUAGGA